Molecule: long non-coding RNA, 946 nt
Organism: Pezoporus occidentalis (night parrot)
Lineage: Eukaryota; Metazoa; Chordata; Aves; Psittaciformes; Psittacidae
Exons: 3
Source: RefSeq, a predicted model, not a curated record
CUGACUUAGGAAUAUUUUCCAAGCUUUAACUUACUGAGCAAGUUACACUUGUUCUUCCUUCAGUACUACCUAUAGGACUUCUGUUGUUCUGGUCUGCAUCAUAAUGAAUGUGGCUGUAUCAGAAGCAGAUGUGCUAUUUUGAUGAGAAACUCAGUCCUAAUACAAAAGAGUUCCUCUCAGUUUGGAUUCUUAGCACUUAGUGUUCAUACAAACUUUAUGUCCUGAGGUUUAGCAGUAGCUCUGCAUUCUUGUAUGUCAAUGAAUGUUUGAGGGAGAAUAGAGAUAGAAUUUCUUCAAUGAGGAUCUUACUUAUCCAUGAUCCAGAAAGGCAGUGUUUCCAGAAAAUGGAAAGAUCUUUCUGCUUUCUUUUAUUGUUCAAGUAUUACGAGGAUAAAAUUUCCCAGAUAUCUUCUACUUAAUUUUUCAACCCACAAUUCAUUUGCUGACUUCAUGAUACCAGUACGUUAAGCAUUAUGUAUGCUGAUAAAAAUAGCUGAACUUACUUGAGAAAUUGGGAGAAAGACUCUGUAAGUGGAUCAGAGGGGAUAACGCUUUCUCUCAUGACUUCUGAGCAUAAUCUUCAGUAGAAAGUGCCACUAUUGAACAGCUAGGCAACAUGUAUGGGUAAGAUCCAAAAAGACGUAAGGGAUUUUGACAGCAGAAGACUUGAUUUUUCUAUUCUCACUCCAGAUGAUGAGGACCACUCUGAUUGCUGUCCUCAACCACAUGAAUGACAGAGACCAAAGAGUCGCUUAAAAGAAAAUUCCCUGCAUUAAGCCUGAAACUUCUAUGUGAGCUGCUGUGAAUCCAGUCAUGGAUGUUUGAUGAAGGACUUCCAUGUAGUGGGAAUUCUUCAACAUACUGUAUCUCUCGAUAGACUUGUCCAGUAAAUAAUCAUCUUCACUACAACAAAUUAUGCAGUAUAUCUAUACUCUCUACUUUAUAA